RNAcentral lists this transfer RNA (87 nucleotides) under Panus rudis PR-1116 ss-1. RNAcentral's name for it is "tRNA-Asp". It matches the Rfam family "tRNA". From Rfam's summary of the family: Transfer RNA (tRNA) molecules are approximately 80 nucleotides in length. Their secondary structure includes four short double-helical elements and three loops (D, anti-codon, and T loops). The record is from RNAcentral. Lineage: Eukaryota; Fungi; Basidiomycota; Agaricomycetes; Polyporales; Panaceae.
UCUCUGCUAGUAUAUCGGUUAGUACACGCGCCUGUCAUUUGAAAAGAACGACCGCGCGAAAGCUGGGUUCGACUCCCAGGCAGAGAG